This 640-nucleotide ribosomal RNA is filed under the name uncultured marine eukaryote. RNAcentral describes it as "SSU rRNA". It matches the Rfam family "Eukaryotic small subunit ribosomal RNA", at positions 619 to 1266 of the family's 1831-position model. The record is from RNAcentral.
UUAAAAAGCUCGUAGUUGGAUUUCGGAGUGGGCCAGUUGGUCCGCCGCAAGGUGUGUUACUGACUGGUUUGCUCUUCUUCGCAAAGACUGCGUGUGCUCUUUGUUGAGUGUGCGUAGGAUUUACGACGUUUACUUUGAAAAAAUUAGAGUGUUCAAAGCAGGCUAUUGCUUGAAUACAUGAGCAUGGAAUAAUGGAAUAGGACUUUGGUCCCAUUUUGUUGGUUUCUAGGACCGAAGUAAUGAUUAAGAGGGACAAUUGGGGGCAUCCGUAUCUCGUUGUCAGAGGUGAAAUUCUUGGAUUUACGUAAGACGAACAACUGCGAAAGCACUUGCCAAGAGUGUUUUCAUUAAUCAAGAACGAAAGUUAGAGGAUCGAAGACGAUCAGAUACCGUCCUAGUUCUAACCAUAAACGAUGUCGACUAGGGAUCAGCGGGCGUUAUCGUACGACCCCGUUGGCACCUUACGGGAAACCAAAGUUUCUGGAUUCCGGGGGAAGUAUAGUCGCAAGGCCGAAACUUAAAGGAAUUGACGGAAGGGCACCACCAGGAGUGGAGCCUGUGGCUCAAUUUGACUCAACACGGGAAAACUUACCAGGUCCAGACAUAGUUAGGAUUGACAGGUUGAGAGCCCUUUCUUGAU